Long non-coding RNA from Pipra filicauda (Wire-tailed manakin), 541 nucleotides. RefSeq lists it as uncharacterized. The transcript is spliced from 2 exons. NCBI's taxonomy places the organism in Eukaryota, Metazoa, Chordata, Aves, Passeriformes, Pipridae. The record is from RefSeq and is a predicted model, not a curated record.
GCCAAGUGGUUUUGAGACUGAGGGGAGGAGCUUUGUGAAAGUGGGUGUGGCUCUGGUGUGGGUGUGGCCUGACCUGGCCCCACCCCCUCCCUCCCCCAGCCCCUCCCCCUCCUGCUGCACCGCGUGGCCGAGCUCCGCCACGAGCUCCGGAGGGCGGGGCUUCCCAAAAAGGGGGCAAGGCUUCCCAAAAAGGGGGAGGGGCCUCCUCCUGCAAAGGAGGUGUGUCCUAUCGGGCCCCGCCCCUUCCCGGGCCCCGCCCCUGAGCUGCUGCAGAGGCUGCGAUUGGUCAGUGACAAGUGCCAGGAGUGUCUCGAGGGCUGGCCCCGCCUCCUGGACACCGUCAGCCAAUGGUGGGACCUCCCCGCCCAGCACAUCCAGGCCACGCCCCCCGGCCGCAUCCCGUUCUCCCAUUGGCUGGAGCGCUGGAGGGGGGCGGUACUGGCCUUGGCCACACCCACACCGGAAGAAGGGGAGGAGCCAGCGGAGCCCCGCCCAUGAGGGGGGAGAGGGUUCUGGUUGUCAAUAAAGGUCUUGCAGAUGA